Molecule: ribosomal RNA, 388 nt
Filed under: uncultured bacterium
Lineage: Bacteria
Description: bacterial SSU rRNA
Rfam family: Bacterial small subunit ribosomal RNA
Source: RNAcentral
GACGAACGCUGGCGGCGUACUUAACACAUGCAAGUCGAGCGGUAAGGCCCUUUCGGGGGUACACGAGCGGCGAACGGGUGAGUAACACGUGAGCAACCUACCCUCAACUUCGGGAUAAGCCUCGGAAACGGGGUCUAAUACCGGAUAUCACUCAUUGCCUCAUGGUUUUGGGUUGAAAGUUCUGGCGGUUGGGGAUGGGCUCGCGGCCUAUCAGCUUGUUGGUGGGGUAAUGGCCUACCAAGGCGUCGACGGGUAGCCGGCCUGAGAGGGCGACCGGCCACACUGGGACUGAGACACGGCCCAGACUCCUACGGGAGGCAGCAGUGGGGAAUAUUGCGCAAUGGACGGAAGUCUGACGCAGCAACGCCGCGUGAGGGAUGACGGCCUU